Molecule: ribosomal RNA, 468 nt
Filed under: uncultured bacterium
Lineage: Bacteria
Description: partial 16S ribosomal RNA
Rfam family: Bacterial small subunit ribosomal RNA
Source: RNAcentral
GACGAACGCUGGCGGCGUGCUUAACACAUGCAAGUCGAACGGAAAGGCCCUGCUUUUGUGGGGUGCUCGAGUGGCGAACGGGUGAGUAACACGUGAGUAACCUGCCCUUGACUUUGGGAUAACUUCAGGAAACUGGGGCUAAUACCGGAUAGGAGCUCCUGCUGCAUGGUGGGGGUUGGAAAGUUUCGGCGGUUGGGGAUGGACUAGCGGCUUAUCAGCUUGUUGGUGGGGUAGUGGCUUACCAAGGCUUUGACGGGUAGCCGGCCUGAGUGGGUGACCGGCCACAUUGGGACUGAGAUACGGCCCAGACUCCUACGGGAGGCAGCAGUGGGGAGUAUUGCACAAUGGUCGGAAGCCUGAUGCAGCAACGCCGCGUGCGGGAUGACGGCCUUCGGGUUGUAAACCGCUUUCGCCUGUGACGAAGCUUGAGUGACGGUAAUGGGUAAAGAAGCACCGGCUAACUACGUG